UUUAGGGGUAAGGCAAGAUGUUAAAUAAUGAGUUGUCAAUGGUGGAAAAAGCUAGAAGAUGCAAAGAGGAUUCCAGUUAGAACCACUGCUGAAAGACUGGACAUUGUGAAAUCAAUAGUACAAACCAUCUUGAAAAAGAAAACCUACUGGAGCAAUAAGCAAUUGAUAAAGAGCAGUUCAUCCAAGGAAGACGACAGCAGUUGAUGACAGAAUCUUCACUAGAACUAUGAAGAAAAAAACACUAAAAUAACAGGCAAAGAGGUUGUAGACAAUCUCCAGGAGUCAGGGGUGAAAGUAUCUCAAAUCACCAUGCACUGCGAGAUACAAGUCACAUAUCAGCACUAAAAACUAAAUGACCAGAUUAGAAUUUGCUGGGAAGUGUAACUCUUCUGUAAGGUCUUAAGGACAGACGAAAAGGAAAAACCUGGAUCAAACUGAUGGGAAGUUAAAAAUGUGGAGGAAGUGCAAGUGAGCCUGAGCCCAUGUGUGAAGCAGGAGGGAGGGAGAGUCGUGGCCUGAGCCUCUGGAACUGGCUUACUGGUCUCUGUCGGUGGUGUCCCUGAGGAUGGCAGCAGCAGCAGAAGAAGAAAUCCUGAAAGACACAGGAGCGUCUUGUCUGCCCAGGUCCAAAAGCAGGCCUCCGAACUCACUGGGGAGCAGGACGGUGAUCCAAAACCAUGAAGGUCUGUUCUCAAGUGGAUGCUUUUGCUAAACCACAUGGUCUGCAAACACUGGUGCCCUUUCCUGACAGCACAAGACAAAUCGGAAUGGACAGCUGGCUGACUGGCAUCGACACCUUGAAGAUCAACAGACUCUACGACUGCAAUGGAGAAUCGAAGACGCAGACAUCAACUAUGACAACUACUCCCUCCUGCCUCAGGAGGAGUCCUGUUGUUGGUCCCAUCUUGUUAGGCUGAAUGAGCUCUAUUUCUAGUCAUCUUGUUUCCCAGAAGCCCAGCAUUACUUACCUGCUAGGUAACAAGGUUUUUAAAUCAAUACAGUUCUGCCUCCACUCUAGUUCUUCGUUCAUUUGAACUUUAAGGUUGUGGAAUGACUGUCAGGGUCUCAUCAGAAGGCACAGGGAAGAUUUAUUCCACUAACGACCCUAAUGUGUACCCCAACAACAAAAACUGCCUGUGGCGCAUAGAAGCAAAGUCACCGAAAUCUAGAUCUCAUUAUCCUUUGAGACGAUGGACAUACAAGACUCGGAGGGCUGCACAUCUGACCACAUUUCGAUAUACGAUGUCGCGUUUAAAAGCUUUAUUGGGCCAAAGCUCUGUGGCUCCAGUACACCUACUCCCAUCCAAUCUUUUGGCCCUGUUCUUGUGAUUGAGUUCCAUACCGAUGGGCCUGUCAGCAACAGGGGCUUCAGCAUAUCAUUCAGGUCACUUUGGUGAAGUGAACAAGAAGCAGCAAGCUCCUCUAUGAAGAGGACUCUUACACAGACCACUUUGGUGAAACACUGAAGAAGAAUGUCAAGAUCAAGACUUUCACGUUUUGCAAUAAAAAUUAAAACGAUGCGUA
Molecule: long non-coding RNA, 1524 nt
Organism: Lepisosteus oculatus (spotted gar)
Lineage: Eukaryota; Metazoa; Chordata; Actinopteri; Semionotiformes; Lepisosteidae
Source: RefSeq, a predicted model, not a curated record